CCUACGGGUGGCAGCAGUGGGGAAUCUUGCACAAUGGGGGAAACCCUGAUGCAGCGACGCCGCGUGAGUGCAGAAGUACUUCGUUAUGUCAAGCUCUAUCAGCCGGGAAGAAAAUGACGUUACCUGAGUAAGAAGCACCGGCUAACUACGUGCCAGCAGCCGCCGUAAUACGUAGGGGGCAAGCGUUAUCCGGCUUUACUGGGUGUAAAGGGAGCGUAGACGGCAGGGCAAGUCUGGAGUGAAAGGCGGGGGCGCAAACCCCGGACUGCUCUGGAAACUGGACGGCUGGAGUGCAGGAGAGGUAAGUGGAAUUCCUAGUGUAGCGGUGAAAUGCGUAGAUAUUAGGAGGAACACCAGUGGCGAAGGCGGCUUACUGGACUGUAACUGACGUUGAGGCUCGAAAGCGUGGGGAGCAAACAGGAUUAGAUACCCUAGUAGUC
This 440-nucleotide ribosomal RNA is filed under the name uncultured bacterium. RNAcentral describes it as "partial 16S ribosomal RNA". It matches the Rfam family "Bacterial small subunit ribosomal RNA", at positions 338 to 795 of the family's 1533-position model. The record is from RNAcentral.